RNAcentral lists this ribosomal RNA (256 nucleotides) under uncultured bacterium. Its description in RNAcentral is "partial 16S ribosomal RNA". It matches the Rfam family "Bacterial small subunit ribosomal RNA", at positions 98 to 354 of the family's 1533-position model. The record is from RNAcentral.
CGGGACGGGUGAGUAACGCGUGGGUAACCUGCCUUACACAGGGGGAUAACACCUGGAAAUAGGUGCUAAUACCGCAUAAGCGCACAGCUUCGCAUGAAGCAGUGUGAAAAACUCCGGUGGUAUACGAUGGAUCCGCGUCUGAUUAGCUGGUUGGCGGGGUAAAGGCCCACCAAGGCGACGAUCAGUAGCCGGCCUGAGAGGGUGAACGGCCACAUUGGGACUGAGACACGGCCCAAACUCCUACGGGAGGCAGCAG